This 1252-nucleotide long non-coding RNA is filed under the name Salmo salar (Atlantic salmon). Its description in RNAcentral is "lncRNA (ENSSSAG00000088131.1)". Lineage: Eukaryota; Metazoa; Chordata; Actinopteri; Salmoniformes; Salmonidae. The record is from RNAcentral.
UUACGUCUUUGAGAGACCCUCUCCACCUGAGCUGAGAAGUAGAUAGACAUUCAUUAGAUUUGGGAUCUUAAUCUACAUUUUAUAAAAUAUAAUUACAUUUUUUUUUAAGAGGGACCAAGGGAGAAAACAAAAGACAAAAUUAAAGUAACUUUUCAGGACACUUGACAUUUUCAUUUUACAGUGAAUAAUAAUACAAAAGUAAUAUAAAAAAUAUGAAAUAAUCAUAAUAACUAAAAUAGCUAUAGAUCACUGCUAGGCCUCAGAAGCUAGAGAAAGUACCUGAAUAGAGUGAGAGCAGUGUUAUCUUAAUUCCCUGAGGAUGUCUGGGUAACGUAGUGUCUGGGCUGAGGAUGUCUGGGUAACGUAGUGUCUGGGCUGAGGGUGUCUGGGUAACGUAGUGUCUGGGUGACGUAGUGUCUGGGCUGAGGGUGUCUGGGUGACGUAGUGUCUGGGUAACGUAGUGUCUGGGCUGAGGGUGUCUGGGUUACGUAGUGUCUGGGCUGAGGGUGUCUGGGUAAUGUAGUGUCUGGGUAAUGUAGUGUCUUGUCCGUGAGGCAGAGAGUGGGUGAUAUAAUUCUUUCUAUAGAAAGCAUUGAAGGGUGCAUUCAGAACUGCAACGCUUCGGCCUUGCACUAUUAAACCAGUGUCAGUGUUGCAAAAACGUUAAAAAGAGCACUGAUAGUUCUGUGUUGCAAACGCAGCUCAGGCUACAGUAUGGUUGGAGGGCACAGGCUUCACAGGCCCGAUAAUAGGAAACUAAAAGCAUUUCACACCGUCAAGCAGCAACACAUACAGGCACUCACACACUCCCAAUUGUUUCAUUUUUUUUUACUUUAAAGAAGGAAAAAGUUAUUCUGAAAAGAGCUUUAGCAAAAAAACACUACGAGAGCGGUUGCAGCGACAAAAACAAACCUUAAGUGCACCUCUUUCUCGAAAAGGAUGGCUUCUUUCGAGGGCAAAUAUUUCAUAUUUAAACAUUGGAAUCUGUCUUGCGUACAUUCCACUUUCGUAAAACAACUGCCCGCUCCAGCAAAAAUCUGUUACAAUGUAUGUACACUGGCAUGCAAAAAAUAUCCAACCAAUCUGAAUCCUUGUGUUGAUCCAAUUGGACUCUGAUUGGACACUGAAGGAGGUAUAUCAAGUGACAUCCCUGAAUGCAUGUCCUUCCUUCCUUCCUUCCUUCCUUCCUUCCUUCCUUCCUUCCUUCUUCCUUCCUUCCUUCCUUCCUUCCUUCCUUCCUUCCUUCCUUCUU